This 279-nucleotide long non-coding RNA is filed under the name Manihot esculenta (cassava). Its description in RNAcentral is "long non-coding RNA (MESC_LNC002959)". The record is from RNAcentral. Lineage: Eukaryota; Viridiplantae; Streptophyta; Magnoliopsida; Malpighiales; Euphorbiaceae.
ACAAUUUCAUAGCGCUUUUGAGUGAGAAAAGAGAAGAACAUGAGGCAACUCCGUGUUUCUAAAUAGUCUCACAUGCUUUUCAAUUUUGUCUUGUGUUUUUCAAUUUAAACAAUAAAUAAUACAGGCAAACCCUUGUUUCCAUGCCUACUAUCUGUCUCGGCCUAAAAUAUGCAUUUCAACUCGUGUUUUUGUAAGAAAAAUUAGUUUUUCAAGUCUAGUCUUAGAGCAAUAGGUAGAGAGAUUCAAAUGGGUAUAAAUACUUCAUUUUUAGAGCUUGGG